AUUGAACGCUGGCGGCAGGCCUAACACAUGCAAGUCGAACGAGUGGCGGACGGGCGAGUAAUGUCUGGGAAACUGCCUGAUGGAGGGGGAUAUCUACUGUAAACGGUAGCUAAUACCGCAUCCCAUCGGUUGUGCCCAGAGUGGAUUAGCUAGCAGGUGGGGUAUAGGCUCACCAAGGCGACGAUCCCGAGCUGGUCUGAGAGGAUGACCAGAAACACUGGGACUGAGACACGGCCCAGACUCCUACGGGAGGCAGCAGUGGGGAAGAUUGGACAAUGGGCGAAAGCCUGAUGCAGCAAUGCCGCGUGUAUGAAGAAGGUCUUCGGGUUGUAAAGUACUUUCGGCGGAGAGGCGGUACCCGCAGAGAAAGCACCGGCUAACUCCGUGCCAGCAGCCGCGGUAAUUC
RNAcentral lists this ribosomal RNA (406 nucleotides) under uncultured bacterium. RNAcentral describes it as "partial 16S ribosomal RNA". It matches the Rfam family "Bacterial small subunit ribosomal RNA", at positions 30 to 526 of the family's 1533-position model. The record is from RNAcentral.